This 397-nucleotide ribosomal RNA is filed under the name uncultured bacterium. Its description in RNAcentral is "partial 16S ribosomal RNA". It matches the Rfam family "Bacterial small subunit ribosomal RNA", at positions 338 to 732 of the family's 1533-position model. The record is from RNAcentral.
CCUACGGGAGGCAGCAGUGAGGAAUAUUGGUCAAUGGACGAGAGUCUGAACCAGCCAAGUAGCGUGAGGGAUGACUGCCCUAUGGGUUGUAAACUUCUUUUAUAUGGGAGUAAUACAGGGUAUGCAUGCCCUCUUGUAGGUUCCAUAUGAAUAAGGCUCGGCUAAAUCCGGGCCCGCAGCCGCGGGAAUACGGAGGAUCCGAGCGUUAUCCGGAUUUAUUGGGUUUAAAAGGAGCGGAGGUGGAUUGUUAAGUCAGUUGGGAAAGUUUGCGGCCCAACCGUAGAAUUGCCGUUGAAACUGGCAGUCUUGAGUACACUAGAGGUGGGCGGAAUGCGUGGUGUAGCGGUGAAAUGCUUAGAUAUCACGAAGAACUCCGAUUGCGAAGGCAGCUUACUAA